This 617-nucleotide ribosomal RNA is filed under the name Hoplia korbi. RNAcentral describes it as "partial 16S large subunit ribosomal RNA". It matches the Rfam family "Bacterial large subunit ribosomal RNA", at positions 1844 to 2747 of the family's 2925-position model. Lineage: Eukaryota; Metazoa; Arthropoda; Insecta; Coleoptera; Scarabaeidae. The record is from RNAcentral.
UUUAAAGUCUAACCUGCCCAAUGAUGAAUUAAAUGGCCGCAGUAAUUUGACUGUGCAAAGGUAGCAUAAUCAUUAGUUUUUUAAUUGGAAGCUGGAAUGAAUGGUUGGACGAGAAAAAUACUGUCUCAGUUUAAUUUUAAUUAGAAUUUUAUUUUUAAGUAAAAAAGCUUAAAUAAGUUUAAAAGACGAGAAGACCCUAUAGAGUUUUAUAAUUGAUUUAUUUUAAUUUUUAAGGUAUUUUAAAUUAUUUGAAUAAAUUAAUUAUUUAAUUGGGGUGAUUAAAAAAUUUAAUUAACUUUUUUUUAUAUUUUACAUAUGUGUAUGAUUGAAUGAUCCAUUAUUAAUGAUUAAAAGAUUAAAUUACCUUAGGGAUAACAGCGUAAUUUUUUUUGAGAGUUCUUAUCAAUAAAAGAGUUUGCGACCUCGAUGUUGGAUUAAAAUAAAUUUUUGGUGCAGUAGCUAAAAAAUAAGGUCUGUUCGACCUUUAAAAUUUUACAUGAUCUGAGUUUAGACCGGCGUGAGCCAGGUUGGUUUCUAUCUUUAAAUUAUAGGUAUACUUUAGUACGAAAGGAUUAGGUAUAAAUAAUAAUUAUUUUAUGUUGAAUAUCAAUAAUGUA